GGCCUAUCUAGGAAGACUGGGCCAACAUGCGAUCCCCUCUGCAAGGUGGAGGCCAUGCACCUGCCUCCUGCUCCUGAGCUCCGGUAUCCUCACUGUGACCCAGGCCCCACUGCAGCAAAGAGACACUGGGAAUUAGCCCUUCUGUCCCCUCCUUGCCAGAAGCAGGAGGCCACUGGAGGCUCCAAGGGCUCUGAAAUGUUGAG
This 203-nucleotide long non-coding RNA is filed under the name Homo sapiens (human). Its description in RNAcentral is "non-protein coding lnc-SSTR4-2:4". The record is from RNAcentral. Lineage: Eukaryota; Metazoa; Chordata; Mammalia; Primates; Hominidae.